GCGCCUGUAGCUCAAUUGGAUAGAGCGUCGGUCUACGGAACCGAAGGUCAGGGGUUCGAGUCCUCUCAGGCGCG
Molecule: transfer RNA, 74 nt
Filed under: Planctomycetota bacterium
Lineage: Bacteria; Pseudomonadati; Planctomycetota
Also listed under: 1 other name
Description: Planctomycetes bacterium tRNA-Arg
Rfam family: tRNA
About the family: Transfer RNA (tRNA) molecules are approximately 80 nucleotides in length. Their secondary structure includes four short double-helical elements and three loops (D, anti-codon, and T loops). Further hydrogen bonds mediate the characteristic L-shaped molecular structure. tRNAs have two regions of fundamental functional importance: the anti-codon, which is responsible for specific mRNA codon recognition, and the 3' end, to which the tRNAs corresponding amino acid is attached (by aminoacyl-tRNA synthetases). tRNAs cope with the degeneracy of the genetic code in two manners: having more than one tRNA (with a specific anti-codon) for a particular amino acid; and 'wobble' base-pairing, i.e. permitting non-standard base-pairing at the 3rd anti-codon position.
Source: RNAcentral